RNAcentral lists this ribosomal RNA (438 nucleotides) under Clostridioides difficile. Its description in RNAcentral is "bacterial SSU rRNA". It matches the Rfam family "Bacterial small subunit ribosomal RNA", at positions 197 to 656 of the family's 1533-position model. Lineage: Bacteria; Bacillati; Bacillota; Clostridia; Peptostreptococcales; Peptostreptococcaceae. The record is from RNAcentral.
AAUAUCAAAGGUGAGCCAGUACAGGAUGGACCCGCGUCUGAUUAGCUAGUUGGUAAGGUAACGGCUUACCAAGGCGACGAUCAGUAGCCGACCUGAGAGGGUGAUCGGCCACAUUGGAACUGAGACACGGUCCAAACUCCUACGGGAGGCAGCAGUGGGGAAUAUUGCACAAUGGGCGAAAGCCUGAUGCAGCAACGCCGCGUGAGUGAUGAAGGCCUUCGGGUCGUAAAACGCUGUCCUCAAGGAAGAUAAUGACGGUACUUGAGGAGGAAGCCCCGGCUAACUACGUGCCAGCAGCCGCGGUAAUACGUAGGGGGCUAGCGUUAUCCGGAUUUACUGGGCGUAAAGGGGGCGUAGGCGGUCUUUCAAGUCAGGAGGGAAAGGCUACGGCUCAACCGUAGUAAGCUCUUGAAACUGGGAGACUUGAGUGCAGGAGAG